Molecule: ribosomal RNA, 417 nt
Filed under: uncultured Gammaproteobacteria bacterium
Lineage: Bacteria; Pseudomonadati; Pseudomonadota; Gammaproteobacteria
Description: bacterial SSU rRNA
Rfam family: Bacterial small subunit ribosomal RNA
Source: RNAcentral
CGCGUAGGAAUUUACCUUUUAGUGGGGGAUAACUCCGGGAAACCGGGGCGUAAUACCGCAUAUACCCUAUGGGGGAAAGGUGGGGGACCGUCUUCGGAGACCUCAUGCUAUUAGAUGAGCCUGCGUCGGAUUAGCUAGUUGGUAGGGUAAUGGCCUACCAAGGCAACGAUCCGUAGCUGGUCUGAGAGGAUGAUCAGCCACAUUGGGACUGAGACACGGCCCAGACUCCUACGGGAGGCAGCAGUGGGGAAUAUUGCACAAUGAGGGAAACCUUGAUGCAGCAAUACCGCGUGUGUGAAGAAGGCCUUAGGGUUGUAAAGCACUUUCAAUCAGGAGGAUUGCUAUUUUGGAUAAUAACCUUAAUAGUUGACGUUACUGAUACAAGAAGCACGGCUAACUCAGUGCCAGCGGCUGCGG